RNAcentral lists this ribosomal RNA (552 nucleotides) under uncultured Acinetobacter sp. Its description in RNAcentral is "bacterial SSU rRNA". It matches the Rfam family "Bacterial small subunit ribosomal RNA", at positions 353 to 896 of the family's 1533-position model. Lineage: Bacteria; Pseudomonadati; Pseudomonadota; Gammaproteobacteria; Moraxellales; Moraxellaceae. The record is from RNAcentral.
AGUGGGGAAUAUUGGACAAUGGGGGGAACCCUGAUCCAGCCAUGCCGCGUGUGUGAAGAAGGCCUUAUGGUUGUAAAGCACUUUAAGCGAGGAGGAGGCUACUGAGACUAAUACUCUUGGAUAGUGGACGUUACUCGCAGAAUAAGCACCGGCUAACUCUGUGCCAGCAGCCGCGGUAAUACAGAGGGUGCGAGCGUUAAUCGGAUUUACUGGGCGUAAAGCGUGCGUAGGCGGCUUUUUAAGUCGGAUGUGAAAUCCCCGAGCUUAACUUGGGAAUUGCAUUCGAUACUGGGAAGCUAGAGUAUGGGAGAGGAUGGUAGAAUUCCAGGUGUAGCGGUGAAAUGCGUAGAGAUCUGGAGGAAUACCGAUGGCGAAGGCAGCCAUCUGGCCUAAUACUGACGCUGAGGUACGAAAGCAUGGGGAGCAAACAGGAUUAGAUACCCUGGUAGUCCAUGCCGUAAACGAUGUCUACUAGCCGUUGGGGCCUUUGAGGCUUUAGUGGCGCAGCUAACGCGAUAAGUAGACCGCCUGGGGAGUACGGUCGCAAGACUA